GAGUGUCCGGGGACCCAACAGAAUGCGUCAUCGACAAAAUCUCUUCAAAUUACCUGACGACAAUUUUCGAUAUAAAUAUCGAUUUACGUUUUUCGAAAUAAUAGUCAAUUGAAUGCAUGAUGAUAAUCCAGGAUGAUCCUAUGAUGCUCAACUGGGCUCGCCAUAAAAUUCAAGACUAUUUUGGCGUUUUGCACGCCGUAUCUCUGCCAGUAAUAUGCAAUGUUUGUAAAAGACUGGAAGCUUGCUAAAAUGUACAAAAAUGCCUAGAUGAGAAAGGGAACAAGAUUGUGUGAUGAAGAACAGUGUCCAACAUGUAUCAGUGCAUUUGACUGUAUAAAUAGACAUCGGAAUAAAAUAUAAUUUUCUACUUU
Helicoverpa armigera (cotton bollworm) is the source of this 371-nucleotide long non-coding RNA. RefSeq lists it as uncharacterized. The transcript is spliced from 2 exons. The record is from RefSeq and is a predicted model, not a curated record. Lineage: Eukaryota; Metazoa; Arthropoda; Insecta; Lepidoptera; Noctuidae.